This is a long non-coding RNA of Drosophila novamexicana, 972 nucleotides long. RefSeq lists it as uncharacterized. The transcript has 4 exons. The record is from RefSeq and is a predicted model, not a curated record. NCBI's taxonomy places the organism in Eukaryota, Metazoa, Arthropoda, Insecta, Diptera, Drosophilidae.
CUUUGGUUGUCGUUAGUUUCGUUCGCCUUCCGUUAAAUAGUGUCAAUAGUUUUGUAACCCCUCCCUCUCCGAUUAGCCCAAGUAUAAUGCAUGCACACAUGGACAUGCAUGCAUGCGAGUGUAUCGGAAUGCAUGCAUCAAAUAAGGAAAGGGGAAGUGAUUUGUGCGCGGCAAUUUUGGGUAGCUGUCAUCGCAGUCGCGAGGGCUUUGAACUCGUGACGUUGCGCGUACUCGUUCAACGGCUCGUCUCGGCAAGCAUCAGCAGCCCACCCCACCCCCCACCCCGUUUGCGCUGUGUGCGCGCAUGUGAAAAGUGUAACAAAAACAAAGUGCGGCCCAUUAUCGUGCGAUCCCCCCCCUGAUAACCGACGCCACUGGCCGACUGCGACAAUCAGUUAUUGGCCCGUCGUGUGGAGCUUCUCCAAUGAGCAUUGAACUGCGAAUUGCACAAGCGUGCGAAUCUGGCAGACAAACAUGAGAAAUGGUGCUGCCAGAUAACUGGCCAUAUUGAGCUCUCUGCGUUUGCCGAUUACCGUUAUUGUUGCUGAUGAUGACUAAUCCAAAUAAAUUCAAACGAAACCCAAGCUUCAUUCAGAUACGUUGACAGAAGUUUAAAAACCUGGUUAAGGGAACACCUCAACGUUCCUAAGAGCAAAAAAAAAAAAGGAGAUGUUAUCCUGCUUAUUGCAUAGUCGAGUCGAGCUGGACGUAUAAAAUUAUUAUUUGGAGUGAUUUAAGCAUCAAACAAUGCUUAAAUUAUAUCAAGAGAAUUCUGGCUCGAAACUGUUUUUCUAUAAAGGAUCUGGAAUGAGACAUAAGGAUCUUGUAGGAUUUUUACAGAACUGACGAAACUCUCUUCAUCAUCGGAUCGGAUAGGAAAGGCCAUUUCCCAGAACAAUUUCCCACUCACACACUCUUAACAAAGCCAAGAAGAAGAAGUUACUUAAAUAAUAUAUAUAUGAGUAUAAAACC